This 431-nucleotide long non-coding RNA is filed under the name Cavia porcellus (domestic guinea pig). Its description in RNAcentral is "lncRNA (ENSCPOG00000031947.1)". The record is from RNAcentral. Lineage: Eukaryota; Metazoa; Chordata; Mammalia; Rodentia; Caviidae.
AGCUGUGUAACUUUGUCCACAGACACAUUCAGCAGUCUUGGACGUUAUUUCCCAAAUCCAAGCUUCAGCAUGGUCUAUCACACGGAAGAUACCUGAUGAGUGUUAUGAAGCAAUGACUGACUGUGGCAGUGUUUCUGGGACUCUGAAGAGGCAAUUCAUACUUCAUGGUGGAAGUGGGAAAGGAGAUCAGCAAAGAUUCAAGAAAAGUAAAGUAAGGUGCUGGAUCACCUUCUGAGACGAGGUGCCAGAGCUGGGAGCAGGAGUACAAGGAUUACUAUAAAUUCUGAGACCUAUGAAGCUACCCAACAGGAAGAAGACACUCAUGUUCCAACAUGGUACAGCUACAUUCAGUCCUUUCUGGAACCCAAUAAAGUCGGAAUCCUGACUCAACAGCAGCCAUUUUGUUCAGUAAAGCUGUAGCCAUUUUGUUC